UGUUUCUGUGUACACUGUGUAUUGU
Molecule: non-coding RNA, 25 nt
Filed under: Mus musculus (house mouse)
Lineage: Eukaryota; Metazoa; Chordata; Mammalia; Rodentia; Muridae
Source: RNAcentral